RNAcentral lists this ribosomal RNA (250 nucleotides) under uncultured bacterium. RNAcentral describes it as "partial 16S ribosomal RNA". It matches the Rfam family "Bacterial small subunit ribosomal RNA", at positions 524 to 773 of the family's 1533-position model. The record is from RNAcentral.
UACAGAGGUGGCAAGCGUUGUUCGGAUUUAUUGGGCGUAAAGGGUCCGUAGGCGGUUUGGAAAGUCGGAUGUGAAAUCCCACAGCUUAACUGUGGAACUGCAUUCGAAACUUCCAGACUGGAGUGUGAGAGGGGUAAAGAGAAUUCCUGGUGUAAGGGUGAAAUCUGCAGAGAUCAGGAAGAAUACCAGUCGCGAAGGCGCUUUACUGGCUCACAACUGACGCUGAGGGACGAAAGCUAGGGGAGCAAAC